GUAACACGUAGAUAAUCUAUCCUAUACUGGGGGAUAGCCCGAUGAAAGUUGGAUUAAUACCGCAUAUAGCUAUAUAGUUGCAUGAUUAUGUAGUGAAAGAUUUAUUGGUAUAGGAGGAGUCUGCGGCACAUUAGCUAGUAGGUGAGGUAAAGGCUUACCUAGGCGACGAUGUGUAGCCGGUCUGAGAGGAUGAACGGCCACAAUGGAACUGAGACACGGUCCAUACUCCUACGGGAGGCAGCAGUGGGGAAUAUUGCACAAUGGGGGAAACCCUGAUGCAGCAACGCCGCGUGAGUGAAGAAGGUUUUCGGAUUGUAAAGCUCUGUUAGCAGGGAAGAGGAAGGACGGUACCAGCAGAGGAAGCCACGGCUAACUACGUGCCAGCAGCCGCGGUAAUACGUAGGUGGCAAGCGUUGUUCGGAAUAACUGGGCGUAAAGGAUGCGUAGGCAGUUAAACAAGUUAUAUGUUAAAUAUAUAGGCUUAACCUGUAGAAAGCAUAUAAAACUGUUUAACUAGAGUGCAGGAGAGGUAAGUGGAAUUCCUAGUGUAGCGGUGAAAUGCGUAGAGAUUAGGAAGAACACCAGUGGCGAAGGCGACUUACUGGACUGUAACUGACGCUGAGGCAUGAGAGCAUGGGGAGCAAACAGGAUUAGAUACCCUGGUAGUCCAUGCUGUAAACGAUGGGUACUAGGUGUGGGUUGUGAAUAACAAUUCGUGCCGUCG
Molecule: ribosomal RNA, 724 nt
Filed under: uncultured bacterium
Lineage: Bacteria
Description: bacterial SSU rRNA
Rfam family: Bacterial small subunit ribosomal RNA
Source: RNAcentral